ACCAAAUUCUCAACGAUGGAUAUCUUGGUUCCCAUAACGAUGAAGAACGCAGCGAAGUGCGAUAAGCAAUGCGAAUUGCAGAACCGUGAGUCAUCAGAUUUUUGAACGCAACUUGCGCCGAGAGGAGGUCACUCCUCCCGGCAUGCUUGUUUCAGUGUCUC
RNAcentral lists this ribosomal RNA (161 nucleotides) under Halteria grandinella. Its description in RNAcentral is "5.8S ribosomal RNA". It matches the Rfam family "5.8S ribosomal RNA". Rfam says of the family: 5.8S ribosomal RNA (5.8S rRNA) is a component of the large subunit of the eukaryotic ribosome. It is transcribed by RNA polymerase I as part of the 45S precursor that also contains 18S and 28S rRNA. Functionally, it is thought that 5.8S rRNA may be involved in ribosome translocation. Lineage: Eukaryota; Ciliophora; Spirotrichea; Sporadotrichida; Halteriidae. The record is from RNAcentral.